Pteropus alecto (black flying fox) is the source of this 7285-nucleotide long non-coding RNA. RefSeq lists it as uncharacterized. The transcript has 2 exons. The record is from RefSeq and is a predicted model, not a curated record. NCBI's taxonomy places the organism in Eukaryota, Metazoa, Chordata, Mammalia, Chiroptera, Pteropodidae.
UUAAGACAUGUUCGCAAUAUUCCUAAGCACAUCCUUGCUUUCUGGUACCACCAGAUGUCCCAAGUUCAUCUUGUAUUUUCUCUGUCCCGGUUCUGGAUUCAGCCAUUUCUCCAAAGAGUCCUGGUUCCCUUUAGUGAAGAAUGGCAUCUAGAAGGUAAGAUUUGGGCACUACGUAUAUUUUUUGCUGUUGGCAUGUUACUGUUCCCAAGCCCUGUCAGUGAACAGGGUUAGAAAAUGUGUGUGGGUACAGGUGUGCACACACACUUACAUCUGUAUUUUCUACAUAAUCUAUAAAUAUUAAAAGACUUGUGUUUGCUCAUCCAUACCUCCAAUUCCAAUCCAACACCACAGGGUCCAUUUUCCCUUUCCAUAUUUGUAGUUCUCUUUUCUGACAGCAAGAAACCUGGCUUCCGAUAUCUUUGAUAUAUUUACUCGUUUGAUCAGUUCCCAUGUAUGUAACCAACCUCCCACCUCUGACAUCACCAUCUUGGCCAUACGAACACCUUAGUCUUGCUUCCCCUGCUCAGGCUCUCAUACUUUGCUUUGUGUGCCAGUCUGGGGAUGGUGAGGAAGUGGAUUCUCCUCCUAUUUCGCCCAGAGGAGAUGGGAACCGUACAUCAAGGGACAGAGGUAAUUCUGCCAUAACAGGAUAAGUGCUCUCCAAAGGAAGGGGGCCUUUUGUGAUGCCAUGAAUUUGCCACAUGAAGUCUGCUUACCUCUCAGUGUCUGUUGGAACAUGGUAAACGGUUUGAAACAGAGCUGAAGAGCAGGAAUAAUGUGGAAGUGGAAAAUCCAGAAAGAAAAUAUGAAGAAAAGCCAUAAGAGGAUGGCAGAAAGGAGAGAAAGGGACAUAGGUGGGAAAACAAAUAUAAGAAAGUUUGAGUGGAGGAGAAAAAGAAGAUAAAAUGACUUCUGUUGACUGACAUCACCCUCCCAAAGCUUCUCCCGAAGGUCUGGCAAAUAUGCUGGUCUCCUACAAGCUCUCAACCAACAACUUUGGUAUGCAUUCAGUUAAGGGAACAGAGAUGAUUCGAAGACGUAAGCAGUGAGUUGCCAUCUCUUGAGGCCACAAAUGCAACAUUCCUGCAGAAACUGCAAGGCACCAGCCUCCUGAAAUUCCCAGGUAUUUCUCCAGGGCCUCCCAAGCAGAUCUAGUCCAACUUCGCAGAGCAUGGGGAUGCUUGCUUACCAGUUGAACUAUCUCAUCACCCACGAGUCAAUUCUGAAGUCUGAAAUAAAUGCCUUUCAGUUUUUGAGAAGGAAAAGAGUUACAACCUUUUAUGGUCAUGAGAAAAUAGUGAAUUCACCGAUCUAAACCAUAUCACUUGUUUUUCCCUCCAGUAGGCCCUCUCUGCAGCAUCGGUCAGUGCUGCCAAACACAGUCGUCUCCACUCCCCUACCUGUCAUCCCACCUCCUCCUCCUUCAAUCUGGUGUCUGCUGUCAGCUCUUUACUGCCUAGUGUCCCACCCAGGGGGGACAGGGACCACCUAUUCCCAAGUCAGAGAACCCUCAAUCCUUCUCUGAAUGACCUCUCUGCUACAUGUCACUGUGGACAGCCCUCCUCUUUUUUGAAAGUUCAUCCCCCUGCUUAAAAUUCUUCCACAAGCCCACCAAGUCUAAACACCUGGCUCUCCCUCGACCUCAUUUCUACUCUACUGUUUUUGGGGCCUCACCUCCAGCCACACCUCAUCUGGAACUUUAAAAUCUCCGAGGAAUUCUGUCCUCUGCACCUUUGCCCCUUCUUGUCUCACUCUUAGAAUGUGCUCCUCCCCCUGGGUAACGCCUAUUUAUCCUUUAAGAUUCAUCUCAGUAACUAAUCUUUCUGAGAAUUAUUAGGCAAUAAUAACUACUUUCUUUUUAACUUUUUUUUAAAUUACGAAAUAAUCUUAGAGAAGUGCAUAAAACAUGGAUGUGCAGCUCAAAGGAUGGUUGCAAAAUGAGAACCCUGUGACUUCUACCCAAGCUGGAAAUAGAACAUGGCCCACUCCCUCCCGAGAGCCCCCGCAGUGCUUCUUCUCAAUCAUAAACCCCUUCUUAGGCUCAGCGGGUAACCCUACACAGCCUGUAUAGUGUUCACGUCCUUGCUUUUUUCUCUAUGAUUUUGCCACCUAAAUAUGCAUCCUUAAAACCUAGAGUUUACUUUUGCUGCCUAUAUUUGAACUUUAUGUUAAUGAAAUUGUACAUUAAAUAUUUUGUUCUGCCUGGCUUAUUUUGCUCAAUAUUUUAUCUUUAACAUGUUUUUCAUAGUUGUCAUCUUUAUUUUUAUUAUUGUGUAAUAUCUUGUUGUAUAAAUAUACCAAAAUGUGUCCAUUUUAUUUUCGAUAGGCAUGGGAGCUCUUUCCAAUUCUUGGCUAUUAUGAACAUUCUGGUGAAAAUGCUUGCACAUGUCACUUGGUGCCUAUAUGCAUGUAUUUCUGUAGGGUAUAUAUCCAAGAGUGAAAUUGCUGCAUCUUGGGGUAUGCUUAGCUUCAGUUUUACAAGAUAAUAUCAAAAAUGUUUUCAAAAUGGUAAUCACAGACCCUAAGAUUUGAUGUAAUAACAAUCUUUCUUGAAAAGAAUAUCUGUACUUGAGAUUUAUGACAAACAAAAACAGACCAAAAAAAACGUAUGCACACAACAAAACAAUAGUAGCAAGAGCCCAGGGGGCGAGAGAGUGAGUAUUGAUAGAGAUCAGCAGUAAGGAUGAGGAACCACAGCUGAGGGGGUCUGGCCCUCAUGGGAAAGGAAAGGUGCUGGACCGGGGAUACCGGUAUAAAUGGCUUCCCAUGUGGAGUUGUAUGGCUUCCCGUUGUGAACACUGGAAAAGAGCUUUCCUUCUUUCUCCUGAGAAUGUGUUGGAUGUUGUUUCAGUGACUUCCACGAACACCCGUGGUAGCUGUGGAACUGACCAGGCUGCUCCUGGGGCCAGCCCUCCUUACCAUCUGCCCCAGGCCCCACUGGCUUCCACCUCUCAGACUCAACAGUUCUCCUCCACUCCUGGCCUGCCAGUGGCUAUUGUGAGUCUCUCGCGGUCUUGGCCCUUCCAGCCAAGAAGAGCUGCAGUAGCCUUAUGUCGUCAGUGCCUGUGUGGAAUGUGGAACGUUCUCUUUCCAGCUCUUUCACUUCUCACCCAAGAGCAAACAUGGGGGUGGGGGGUAUGAGGGAGGCAGGUGAAGAUAGUACAUCUGGGGAUUAUCCUGAAGCAGAGGCUGAGGUUCAGGGGAAGUUGGAACCAUGUCUGAGUCUUCUUUGGGUCCCACCUUCCCCCCGCCCCACUCCAGUGCCUGGCAGAGUUCCUCAUACACCUGAGUAUCUAACCUGCCACUUAUCCAAACAACAACUGUAUAGCAGUGGGGAACAAAGGAGGUAUCUGUUCUUGGACCUCUAUCCUACCAUCUGCCAAAAAAUGUCAGAAUGACCAUAUAUAUCUACAAUGACUGUGAGAAUGGCACCCCUGCAGUUGUGCAGAGCAUGGUUUUCUCACCCUAAGGUGUAGUCUGUUUGCUGGAUAAAUAAAAUCCAAUGCUUGUAGUCAAAUCUCAUGUUUACCAAUAAUCCCACUCUCUUAAAAUGGGUUUACCAGAAGUGCUAACGAGGAACAAAUAUUUAAAUGAAGAUCCACCAAAUAGUUAUUUCAGUUCAGGUCAGCCAGAAACUGCCAGCAAAUGUGUAUUGAUUGAUUUGAUAAAACAGCCCGUAAUAGAUUUGAAUUUUGCCAUAGCUUAAUGAUUUUUUCCUUAUGGAACUAGAAAGCUGCCUGUUUGCAGAGUACAGCAAUUUAUCCUUCUGGUUGAUCGUGGUGAGGGGCUAAAAAGAGAGGACCGGCGUGUUGAUUAUGAAUCUGAGUCCAUGGUAAGUGUCACUGCGCAGGGUCAUGCAGAGGUGUUUGGCUGAGAAAGGCACCAAAAGCACUGCUGGAUCCAGUGGAAGGCAGCUUUUUCUAAUUUGUCUGUCCACUGGGGAUGUCUUUUUCUAAUUCUCACAAGGACUAGUUCUGUGCAAGAUAUUAAAACUGUUUCCACAAAGCCGAGCCUAGUAACGGCAGUUUUCUGAAACUAGCAUCUCUCGUGCAAUCAUCCACAAAGCCAAACAUCUCGACUUAUCUGAUCAUUACAUCUUUCUUUUUAUGUUAAAUUAUUUAUAACCUUAUAGGUCAGUGAAACCUCUGCAUUCUAAGCUCAGCACGGUGACUUUGUGAGCUGGAUAAUAUUCUCUAUUUGCUCCUCCAGGUUGCUCUUUUGAACUCUCUGUGUCCAGGAGACUGACCCAUGGGAGUGGCAUCAAACAGGCUCCCUUGGCCCUGGCUUCCAUCUGGGUUCCAAUCUGAGGCACCUCAGACAACUGAUGGGCUGGAGGGAAAAACAAAUAAAGUUUAUUGCCCAUUCUUUCUCCCUAUGGGUCACAGAUUGGCUGUGUUCCAGUCAUGGGCUGAAAUUGACCCCUCUAAAUUCAUAUAUUGAAUUCCUGAUCCCCAGUACCUCAGCAUGUGAUUGUAUUUGGAAAUAGGGCCUUUAAAGAGAUAAUUCAGUUAAAAUGAGGCCGUUAGGGUAGACCCUAAUCGAAUAUGACUUGUGUCCUUUAUAAGAAGAGAAAAUUUAGACAAAGAUACAUGUAUAAAGAGAAGACUAUGCGAAGACACAGGGAAAAGAGAGCCAUUUACAAGCCAAGCAGAGAAACUUCAGAAGAAACCAGAACCUUGUUUUGGGCUUCUAGCCUCUAGAAUUGUGAGAAAAUAAAUUUCUGUUGUUUGAGUCGCCCAGUCAUGGUAGUUAGUUAGGGCAUUCUGAGCAAAGUAACAGUCUCUCUAUGAAAACUCACAGGUGCAGACUAUGCUCCCCUUCUUAGAGCCACUGUUCUCUCCCUGGAGUCGGGUCACUUCUCCCCCGACCCCCACCUCCAAUCCCUUGACCUCAGGCUUAGGGAAGGGCUCCCUGCUAUUGCUGCCCUAUCAAGAGUGGUUUCCUUUUGCUAAUGGCCUUUAUUAAACUCUCUUCAGUUACCCCAUUUGAGUGCAUCAGUAGUUACUUGCAGUAACAGACCAUUCCACUUGUUUCCCUCACGAUUUGCCUGAGUCAUUUCUAAAAUUUAAUCCUACCUAGCGGAAACAAAACAGAAUGGUACACUGGGCAGGAUGAAUCUUUCUACCAUCUUAUUGUGUAAAAAACACUUUUCUGAAAUUCCCUAGGGUGACAAGAGGCUGUUUGAAUAUGCAACCUAUCUGUGAGUUCUGUACAAAUAGAGACACCGAAUCUGUCUGGCCAAGUGUCCUGUAACGCUGAGAUCGUACUAAUGAGUGAGAAAGCGACUGCUUUAAAAAGAAACUAAUGCUGUGGAGAGAACACUUUGCCAGUGGAAAUUUAGAAUUCUUUCCAUCAUUGUAUGAAUUUGUUUUCUCUGUUAAAAAUUGUGAUAUGUAUACAUUUUUAUAACUGGGAAGUGGGAUUUUUCUAAAUUAUUUUAAAGUCUUGUAAAUGUAUCAUGUCAGACAACUUCGAACAUUAUUUGUCUAUCUACCUGUCCAUCUACCUAUAUAUCUGUAAAAACAGUGCAUCAACCAGGCUUCCUUGCCUUUUGACUUUCUCUGGGUUUGACCAAUAGGAAGCACUUUUUGAUUAGAUUAUAAGAACACUUGAUUGAUGCUAAAGAAGAUGGAAAUUAUUAGUAAACUUUCAACAGAAUCUUUUCAUAGCUGGUAGAUAUGGUCAAAAACAUGAGUCACAGUAGAGUAGAGACAAUGCCCCUCUCGUAUUAUCUUUGCCAACAUUAUUUUUAGCCAUGAUAGUCACUAAAACUAGUUAUAAAAAUAAACUGUGCUUAGAAUCAGACUUUUGAAUUAUAUCACAAAGUGGUAAAGCAAGAUUUUCAAGUGAAGCACAUUUAAUUUAGUCACAUAUAAAUAUAAAAUGAGCAUUCAACAUUAAUAUCAGAGUAAAGCAAAAAGGAUUUUGUGUAUCAUUGAGAAAAUAAACGUCUUAAUAUUUUUUCAUCUUUUAAAAUUUUAUCUUUGUUUUUAACUAACAAUGUGUAAGUUCAACAUGUAUAUUUGUAAAUAAAUAACAAGUAUUGGAAAUAUCUGCUUAAAAUCUUUUACUGAUUUUGGUGAGCCAUCUGAAAAGCCUGGAGACCACUGACCAUCAAAGCAUAAGGGCUGCAAAAAAAAAAUAUCCACUGUACCCAGAAUCUUAGAACUUUAGAGUCAUAAUUCUAUCUUGUUCAAACUGGCUUCAAAGAAAACAAAGGAGAAAGCAUGAAAGAAUGCUGUGAGCCCGCCCGCACAGCCUUCCCGCUUAAGCCAGUAGAGUAUGCUCAUUUGGUUGGGCCGCUACCUCUGAAAACGUUUUGGAAAUAUUUGGAAUGUAAUGGGAGGCCCAAGGGACCACCCAGAAGUAAAAGCCCAAAGGAAAGUCUUCCAAGAACAACAGGGGGCAAAAAGAAGGUCGACUCCUCCCCAGUUGCACUUCCUGGUCAGGGCUGGGCUCGACGGGUUCAGCCAUCUUGUCCAAAUCUGCUUGCGCCUUACAUGCAUUCCUGAGUGUCACAGGGUACAGGCCUUGGAAAUCAUGUUAUCACAGUGUGUAAUGUUUGGAGGUGACAGAAAACACUCUAGUCACGUCAGAGAGAAUAGUUAUUUAGACUAGUGAGGAGAAAAUGCCCUAAAGCUCAACUCAGUAUGCCUUCUCUCUAAUGCCGCCAGCAAAACAAGAACUCAGCUCCAGGCAGAGCUCUAGACGAUAUGCAUAUUUAUUGUUUGGCCUUUCAGACAAAAGGCUAUAAAAAUACAUUGGUGAAGUGGAAACUGCAGUAUGAAUUUUGAAAUCAAAGCUGCUUCUUCCAAUCUGUUUUCUGUUGUUUUUUCAGGAUUCCUCCCUGAUUAAAAUUAAAAUCUGGUCACAAAACAGGGGACCUGGAGAGGCGUUCACUUCUCUACAUCUCCACAGAUGCAUCCUGCUGCUUCCAGCUUUUCUCCUUUGUCAAAAACCAAAAUUCAACUGAUUAAAUUUGAAGACCUAAUUGGCUUUAGCAGAGUGAAUCCAUAUUACCUCUUCAGUUCUGAAAGAUGCACCAGAACAGCUUCAUCUCCCUACAGAAGCCUGUAGAGGAGAGUAUUUGAGUACCUGAAGAAGCCAGCCUUCUUUGCAGUAAUCUUAAAGGAAUCAUUGGCUGAUGUUAACAAGACAUCCUUUCUGCUACCCAUAUUCAGAAUCGUUUCUUCGUGAAGUAAAUACUGGUGAUUUGUUGUUGCUUUGUUCUUUAUGUCCAUUAAAUAGUGAUCUGAUUAAAAAUUAAUGGGAUUUUGUAAUCUAA